This 380-nucleotide ribosomal RNA is filed under the name Escherichia coli. RNAcentral's name for it is "bacterial SSU rRNA". It matches the Rfam family "Bacterial small subunit ribosomal RNA", at positions 1 to 377 of the family's 1533-position model. Lineage: Bacteria; Pseudomonadati; Pseudomonadota; Gammaproteobacteria; Enterobacterales; Enterobacteriaceae. The record is from RNAcentral.
AAAUUGAAGAGUUUGAUCAUGGCUCAGAUUGAACGCUGGCGGCAGGCCUAACACAUGCAAGUCGAACGGUAACAGGAAGAAGCUUGCUUCUUUGCUGACGAGUGGCGGACGGGUGAGUAAUGUCUGGGAAACUGCCUGAUGGAGGGGGAUAACUACUGGAAACGGUAGCUAAUACCGCAUAACGUCGCAAGACCAAAGAGGGGGACCUUCUGGCCUCUUGCCAUCGGAUGUGCCCAGAUGGGAUUAGCUUGUUGGUGGGGUAACGGCUCACCAAGGCGACGAUCCCUAGCUGGUCUGAGAGGAUGACCAGCCACACUGGAACUGAGACACGGUCCAGACUCCUACGGGAGGCAGCAGUGGGGAAUAUUGCACAAUGGGCG